AGAGUUUGAUCCUGGNUCCCCUUNAAANGGUGGCGGNGUGCUUAACACAUGCAAGUCGACCCNUUAAAANANAUUCGGUGGGGAUCAGUGGCGAACGGGUGAGUAACACGUGGGCAACCUGCCCCUAGCUCUGGGAUAACCUCGGGAAACCGAGGCUAAUACCGGAUAUGACUCCGAGCGGCAUCGCUCGGGGUGGAAAGUUUUUCGGCUAGGGAUGGGCCCGCGGCCUAUCAGCUUGUUGGUGGGGUAAUGGCCUACCAAGGCGACGACGGGUAGCCGGCCUGAGAGGGCGACCGGCCACACUGGGACUGAGACACGGCCCAGACUCCUACGGGAGGCAGCAGUGGGGAAUAUUGCGCAAUGGGCGAAAGCCUGACGCAGCGACGCCGCGUGAGGGACGAAGGCCUUCGGGUCGUAAACCUCUUUCAGCAGGGACGAAGCGCAAGUGACGGUACCUGCAGAAGAAGCACCGGCUAACUACGUGCCAGCAGCCGCGGUAAUACGUAGGGUGCAAGCGUUGUCCGGAAUUAUUGGGCGUAAAGAGCUCGUAGGCGGCUUGUCACGUCUGCUGUGAAAACUCGGGGCUCAACCCCGAGCCUGCAGUGGAUACGGGCUAGCUAGAGUGCGGUAGGGGAGACUGGAAUUCCUGGUGUAGCGGUGAAAUGCGCAGAUAUCAGGAGGAACACCGGUGGCGAAGGCGGGUCUCUGGACCGAUACUGACGCUGAGGAGCGAAAGCGUGGGGAGCGAAC
RNAcentral lists this ribosomal RNA (750 nucleotides) under uncultured Rhizobium sp. RNAcentral's name for it is "bacterial SSU rRNA". It matches the Rfam family "Bacterial small subunit ribosomal RNA", at positions 8 to 773 of the family's 1533-position model. The record is from RNAcentral. Lineage: Bacteria; Pseudomonadati; Pseudomonadota; Alphaproteobacteria; Hyphomicrobiales; Rhizobiaceae.